Molecule: unclassified non-coding RNA, 345 nt
Filed under: soil metagenome
Description: partial contains 5.8S ribosomal RNA, internal transcribed spacer 2, and large subunit ribosomal RNA
Rfam family: 5.8S ribosomal RNA (bases 1-121)
Source: RNAcentral
GAUGAAGAACGUAGCGAAAUGCGAUAAGUAAUGCGAAUUGCAGAAUUUCCGUGAGUCAUCGAAUCUUUGAACGCACAUUGCGCCCACUGGUAUUCCGGUGGGCAUGCCUGUUCGAGCGUCAUUAUCCUCCCUCAAACUCCGGGUUUGGUGUUGGACCCAAGUUGUGUGAACAACUGGUCUCAAAGACAAUGACGGCGUCCGUGGGACCCUCGGUGCAACGAGCUUUUAGGAGCACGCAUCGAGUUGCAAGGACCUUCCGGGCCGGUCUCCUUUACCAUUUUACAAGGUUGACCUCGGAUCAGGUAGGAAUACCCGCUGAACUUAAGCAUAUCAAUAAGCGGAGGA